Molecule: long non-coding RNA, 4722 nt
Filed under: Trifolium pratense (red clover)
Lineage: Eukaryota; Viridiplantae; Streptophyta; Magnoliopsida; Fabales; Fabaceae
Description: long non-coding RNA (TPRA_LNC011442)
Source: RNAcentral
UUACUUUCAAUCAUUUUAACAUACAGAAAACUCACUCAAGGUAUUCAUCGUAGAACAGGCAUCAUUACUCGAGGAGUGGAAUAGGAAUUCGGAUUCCCUGCAAUAAAAGGAUCCCGCAUUCACGCGGCUGUGGACGUUAGUGGCCGUUCGAUCAAGAUUGGAUGGUCCAAAAUAGUGCAGAUUUUAAUUUUAAAAUUCAAAUCACUAAGUUUAAGUUUGGACCAUCUAAUCUUGAUUGAAAGGUCACUGAUGUCCCGACUGCAUCAAUGUGAAAAAUCUUGACUGUAGGGGAGCCGGAUCCGUGGAAUAGUGAAUAUGAGCAAAUAAAUUAUUUUGGAUACAAACCAUGUGAGAGACUACCAAACUAAACCCUUUCUUCUCCUAAACCUAUCAACAUGAUCUGUGCUCAUUCGAGAUUUUUCUGGUUUGUCUGGUUUUUUAGACUUUUUAAGACGGCUAUCUAAACUGUUUCUAGAAGCUUCAGGAAUUUCUUUACUCAAUUCAGAAGUACUAGAAGUGCCAGUUUCUGAUUCUUUGCUAGAUUUGUUACCUUCAUUCUCAGUUUCUACAGUUUCCUUUUCAGAACCAUUUGCAGUUGCUGCUUUAGGUUUUCCAAUUGUCUGUACAAAUUUCUUUAGGUGUUUAAUGAACUCCGGGUAAAGCUCAAGAUUACAAUGUCCACCACCACUUACCCACAAGGGUUCAUACUUUUCCUUGCAAAGUUCCCAGAGCUGUUUUCCAUGAGACACAUCUACAACUUCAUCUGCUGUCCCCUGGCAUCGGACAAAAAAAUAUUAUUAUUACUACAAUAUACGAAAUUCAGAACGAAAGAGACAAUAAAUAAAUAGUAAAUAGGUUAUUUAUGUUUUUUGUUUCCCGACUUAUACUAAUCUUCGGUUUGACUCCUAAAAUAAAAAAAAAAAAGUAUCUUUUUCAUACCCCCAAUGUCCUGAAAUGUGCUGAAUUCGUCCUCAUAUUUAUAGUCCCUAUAAUAUGAUAUUUUUUAAUAUCAUUUUGAUCCUUGCAGUAUAUCCUUUUUUCAUUUUAGUCACUAUCAUACAGAAGCUAAUUGAACAUAAAUCAAAUAUUACAGAGAAAGCAAAUAAAAAUGAUAUUAUAUGAGGAGUAAAACAAAUCAACAAUGACCAAUUGUAGCAUAUUUGAGGACAAUGAGAACAUAGAAGAUUGUUUUCUUGAAGAACAAAAACUGAACAUUACCAUAAGCUGGUGACUAAACAUAAUUAACCCAUAAAAAUUUAUAAUCAUGGCAACAAAGUUUGAAUCCCCACAAGAAGAAUGUAUGGUCUAGUGCUUCCUCCCUCCCCCAAAAUAAAUAAUAAUAUUUCCCUCGAGUCCCGUGGAGCCUAGCUUAGUGGUACCUAUCUAGCUUUGUAAUCGACUGGGAAUGUAGGGCCAAGUGCCUCUUCUUCCCCCAAUGGUCUUCUUUUUAUGAAACAUCUUCCUCAAUGGUCUCAAUGAUAGCAGCAGAAGUUUUUUUUUUUUUUUCAACUUUCAUACAUUGGCAAUAAAAGGUUUACUCAUAAUGUAGAUCUCUUCAUACUAUGGAUUAAAUCCAUCAAUAGGUAUAACUCAACUAAGUAUGUUCUUGCAUUAAGAAUUCCUAUCGACAUACAAAAUCAUGGAUUUGAGGGGGGAACCUCGGUGCAUGUUCGGAAAUCCGUUAGAAAGAACUCAAAUCUAUGCUUGACCAAAUCCAAUGGAUUUCCAAAAACACUAUUAACUGACAGCUGAAGCCUGAAAGAAUAUUAGAUAAACCAACAACAAAGGCAGCAAAGAUGCACGUGUAGCCACAAAAGAACACAUUACAUAUUUAUGGGGGAGGGAGAGGGGGAGAGAGAGAGAGAGAGAGAGAGAGAGAGAGAGAGANNNNNNNNNNNNNNNNNNNNNNNNNNNNNNNNNNNNNNNNNNNNNUUUAUGGGGGAGGGAGAGGGGGAGAGAGAGAGAGAGAGAGAGAGAGAGAGAGAGAGUCACUUACAUGGAUAACCAAAACAGGACAUUUGACCAGACCAAUUUUAUCAAUAUUCUGAAAAGAAGGUAAAAUGAACACCAUAAGUCACGAAGUAUUGAGUGAAGCAUAUUGAAAUACAAUCUGUAAGAAAUUUUACCUUAUAAAUAUCAAACCAAUAUGUUCGUUUUACAGGGUAUAGUACUCUAAGCCCUGACAAAAUUGGACUAUGCAACACAACGCCUCUCAAUUCUGAUAUCCUUGAAGCAAGAUCAAGUGUAGGACCACUACCAACAGAUUGACCAUACAAUAUCAAUUGUUCAUCUUUUACCCCAUAUUUCUCCUUCAGGCAUUUAUAUGCAGCUUCAAUAUCUGCGUAUGUAUUAUAUUCAGUUGGCUGUUUCAACAGAAAAAAGGAUGACUGUCAAGGUACAAGCAAUGUCACUCUGAAAGAACCAUCGAGAACAACAUAAUAAGUAUUUAAAAUAUUUGUAGCUCAUUUACAAAUGAAAAAAGAAAAUAAAAAUGAUCUCAGUGGAGAUUAACUUAGCCAUUGGCUUAUAUAAUAACACAACUGAAAACAUUGCUAAUGCACGUAAAUUCAUGAUGUCACAUUGUCGGUGGUUAUUAAUGCAAUAUAUAUGAUUUGAAUAAUUAUGCAUUGAACCCCGACAAAUCUAUGUCAGCUAAUAAUACUUUGUCAGUGGUAACAGUAACACUUGGCAACAACCUGCCAGAUUACCAAAACAUACUUGCACAAUAUCUAGACCAAACUUAUUCAGAUGAACCGCAUAGCAUCCAUAAAAGAAUUAAGUUCAAAUUGAUUUUCUAAACCCAUGGCUAGGGCUAACAGCAUGAUUUAAUCAAAAACAGCUCACAGAUAGCAUAGCUCAAAAAAUUAACUUUACAUUGCUACAUUUUUCCUUCAAAUUUUGGUUUUUAUGCAUUCUAUUCUAUUCUCUUUUAUUUUGUUGUUUAUUACAUUGCAUUGGGCUAUAAGCUCAAUUCAUGUGUGCUAUUGUUUAUUGUUAUGUUUAUGGAGGUUUUAUUGUCAAAAAAAAAAUAGUAUUUAUGGAGUUUUCACAUUUGAUAUAUUAUUUGGUGUAUAUUAAUGAUUAUGCAUUAUGUGUGGUUGUAAUUAUGAAUAAUUUUAAAAUCAUGAGACUAUUGUAAGAUUAUAAGAAUAAAAAUGUAAAUUAUUUAUAAAAUCUCUCUCCUCCCCUAGUGAACCAAACGUGUAAUUAAAAUCCCUCCCCUCUCUUUCCUUCUUUUGAACCAAACAGGCAUGUUAUUAAAAGCCCUUCCCCUCUCCUCCCCUCCAUUAAAAUCCCUCCCAUCCCCUUCAUUUAACCAAACAGACCCUAAAUGACUGAUCGUGUCGACAAGCUACUUGCGGCCCGAAAAAUGCUAUUAGGGUUUGAAAAUUGGAUGCUUGAGUUUCUUCCCCAAAACAAAGGUUUCAAGCAGUGUAUCAACCUUAUGAAAAAAAACUCCGAGUUUUUUUUUUGAAAAGUAAUUUUGGGCAGAAAAAUAUUUUCACUUCUAACAAAUUAAUAACCAAUUGUUGGCCAUUGCAACCUUAAUAUUUUUUUUGAAAAGUAGUACUUUGCUAUUAGUUGCAUGACUUGAAGCCAUGUAGUCAAAACUACAAAGUAGUAAAAACAAACUUGAAGACAUAGUAUAGAAGGUUAUGCUGAAUGGAAGAUAAACGUGAAACGUUUCAAAACAGUGAAUAUACAUGACAACUUUGAAGAAUGGAUAGAAAUCUUAAUGCUUUUAGAAAAAAACUUAAUAGACUUGAUUGAGAGAGUCAUAGAGAAAAAUUCUAAAUAUAGGGCAAUACAUUUGGCUGAUGGGUUAUGUGGGUAUUAGGAUACUUGUUUGGUAAAUGUGAUUUUGAAUGAACUUAAUUUUCUAUACUAUGUAUUCUUGUUUGGUAAAUGUGAUUAUGAAUGAACUUAAUUUUCUAAAUUAUUUGGUUUAGGGUCAAAAAAAAUUAUUUGGUUAAAAUUGAAUUUGAAGUGAAUUUAUUUCUAUUUGAAUUGUUUUAAUCUAAAAUCAAGUUUGACAGGACACAAACACAAUUCUGAUACUCUCCACCAUAAAACCAAACACACUUAAGUUCUUUGCAAUCUACAAAUUUGGGCAAAUCGUGUAGCAAAUAGUUGAUAAAUUAAUUUGAAACAUUUUCUGGAAAAUAUAAGAUGUUACAUACUCCAACUGUUUACCUCUUCUUUCAUCGCCUAUUACUCUCUUUCCAACUUCUUCUCCUCCUUCACCUUUCCACUUAUUCCCCCUCUCCCAUCUCUAUAAUGAACUCUUGUUUCCCAGUAUGUCCGAUCCAAUUCUUCCAUACCUAUUCUUCUACCUCCCUCUGGUUUUGAAUAUAAGCAAAACAAAGUUUUAUAGGUUCAUUGAAUAAAGCAUGUAUUCGGACCAUAAAUAGUCUAGAUAAAUACUUUAUUCCAUGAACCUAGAAAACUUUUUUUUUUUUGCUCAUGUUCAAAACCGGAGGUUGUACUUCACAAGAGAUUUUUUCAAAAGUGGCUAAACUAAUACAGUUCACAUUAUUCUUGCAGUGGCCAAUUAGCAACUAGUUGAGGCGAAUAACACCUCCCUAUAUGGCUACCUUGUUGGAUAAAUAUAUAUUCAGCAACUUCCAAGCUUUGAAUCCAUUGAUACAUCAAUAUUUUGCAAGCUUCACAAAGCUUUAUAUGGACUCAAACAGGGCCUCGUGCCAGGUUCAACAAGCUCCC